UGGGGAAUAUUGGACAAUGGGCGCAAGCCUGAUCCAGCAAUGCCGCGUGAGUGAAGAAGGCCUUCGGGUUGUAAAGCUCUUUUGUCAGGGAAGAAACGGUGAGGGCUAAUAUCCUUUGCUAAUGACGGUACCUGAAGAAUAAGCACCGGCUAACUACGUGCCAGCAGCCGCGGUAAUACGUAGGGUGCAAGCGUUAAUCGGAAUUACUGGGCGUAAAGCGUGCGCAGGCGGUUAUGUAAGUCAGAUGUGAAAUCCCCGGGCUCAACCUGGGAAUGGCAUUUGAGACUGCAUGGCUAGAGUGUGUCAGAGGGGGGUAGAAUUCCACGUGUAGCAGUGAAAUGCGUAGAGAUGUGGAGGAAUACCGAUGGCGAAGGCAGCCCCCUGGGAUAACACUGACGCUCAUGCACGAAAGCGUGGGGAGCAAACA
Molecule: ribosomal RNA, 427 nt
Filed under: uncultured bacterium
Lineage: Bacteria
Description: partial 16S ribosomal RNA
Rfam family: Bacterial small subunit ribosomal RNA
Source: RNAcentral